CCCUUAGAUGUUCUGGGCGGCCCGCGCACUGCAUUGGCACUCUCAAUAAGUUCCUAGAUCUAAAACUUUGGGGUAUUCUAUUAAGUGGUGUCGUGACUGGGAUUAACCCUUGCAAUUAUUGGUUACGAACGAGGAAUUCCUUGUAAUCGCGGUUUAUCAGCCCGCGUUGAAUGCGUCCCUGCCCUUUGUACACACCGCCCGUCGCUCCUACCGAUGAAUCGUCCGGUGAAGUUCAUGGAGUGGUGGUUGUUCCAGCUGCUGUCGAAGUGAAAUGGACCUCACGAUUUAGAGGAAGGAGAAGUCGUAACA
RNAcentral lists this ribosomal RNA (309 nucleotides) under uncultured eukaryote. Its description in RNAcentral is "partial 18S ribosomal RNA". It matches the Rfam family "Eukaryotic small subunit ribosomal RNA", at positions 1470 to 1796 of the family's 1831-position model. The record is from RNAcentral.